RNAcentral lists this ribosomal RNA (253 nucleotides) under uncultured bacterium. RNAcentral describes it as "partial 16S ribosomal RNA". It matches the Rfam family "Bacterial small subunit ribosomal RNA", at positions 524 to 776 of the family's 1533-position model. The record is from RNAcentral.
GACAGAGGGGGCAAGCGUUGCUCGGAAUCACUGGGCGUAAAGGGCGCGUAGGCGGGAUGGCAAGUCGGUCGUGAAAUCCUUCGGCUCAACCGAAGAACGUCGGCCGAUACUGCCGUUCUUGAGGGAUGCAGAGGAGAUUGGAAUUCCCGGUGUAGCGGUGAAAUGUGUAGAUAUCGGGAGGAACACCGGUGGCGAAGGCGGCGACCUGGACAGUAACUGACGCUGAGACGCGAAAGCGUGGGUAGCAAACAGG